UGAUAACAUGUUUGAAAAAAGCAUCUGCA
RNAcentral lists this non-coding RNA (29 nucleotides) under Rattus norvegicus (Norway rat). The record is from RNAcentral. Lineage: Eukaryota; Metazoa; Chordata; Mammalia; Rodentia; Muridae.